This is a non-coding RNA of Pantherophis guttatus, 552 nucleotides long. Lineage: Eukaryota; Metazoa; Chordata; Lepidosauria; Squamata; Colubridae. The record is from RefSeq and is a predicted model, not a curated record.
AAGGUGUAUUAUUAUGUGACUACAUAGCUUAGUGAUGGAAAUCUCAGCAGUCCACCUGUUGUUAUUGUUAAGGAAAGACUUACCCUGAUCCAAUCCAUUCCCGGCUUGAUUUCUCCAGCCCUAAGCCUUGAGUUAUCCAUCAACUAAGCAUACCUCUAAGAAAUUACAUCCAGAUGUACAAUAAGCCGUUGAAGAAACAACAGAAAUCAUCAAUUGGGGGUAUAUAUAAAUCAGAUUGGCUGCAGGACAGAUGCUGAAUGAUACCAUAUCGUAAAUGGUUCUGGUGCUCCUUUAAUUGUACUCAUUUGUUUAAUGAUGAUUCAAAAUUAUGACAGUCUUGGAAAAAGUGAUGGAAUGUUGUCUGGAUUCCUAGAAGGAAAGGAGUGCAUUCUAGAGGGACAAGAAACAUUGCAAUUUGUGUGGGAGAAAAAGGCUGAAGACAGUUCCUCUCUAACAGUUCCCUGAGCAUAUGUUUUAUGGUGCUUGUAAUCUGCUUUUGUUUGGCAAGAUUGCUGUCUAUAGAUAAGAACAAUAAAGGAAAUUUUAUCUCAA